This 506-nucleotide ribosomal RNA is filed under the name uncultured bacterium. RNAcentral describes it as "partial 16S ribosomal RNA". It matches the Rfam family "Bacterial small subunit ribosomal RNA", at positions 29 to 523 of the family's 1533-position model. The record is from RNAcentral.
AGUGAACGCUGGCGGUAGGCCUAACACAUGCAAGUCGAACGGCAGCACAGGAGAGCUUGCUCUCUGGGUGGCGAGUGGCGGACGGGUGAGGAAUACAUCGGAAUCUACUUUUUCGUGGGGGAUAACGUAGGGAAACUUACGCUAAUACCGCAUACGACCUACGGGUGAAAGCAGGGGAUCUUAGGACCUUGCGCGAUUGAAUGAGCCGAUGUCGGAUUAGCUAGUUGGCGGGGUAAAGGCCCACCAAGGCGACGAUCCGUAGCCGGUCUGAGAGGAGGAUCAGCCACACUGGAACUGAGACACGGUCCAGACUCCUACGGGAGGCAGCAGUGGGGAAUAUUGGACAAUAGGCGCAAGCCUGAUCCAGCCAUACCGCGUGGGUGAAGAAGGCCUUCGGGUUGUAAAGCCCUUUUGUUGGGAAAGAAAUCCAGCUGGUUAAUACCCGGUUGGGAUGACGGUACCCAAAGAAUAAGCACCGGCUAACUUCGUGCCAGCCGCCGCAGUAA